RNAcentral lists this ribosomal RNA (253 nucleotides) under uncultured bacterium. RNAcentral describes it as "partial 16S ribosomal RNA". It matches the Rfam family "Bacterial small subunit ribosomal RNA", at positions 524 to 776 of the family's 1533-position model. The record is from RNAcentral.
UACGAAGGGGGCUAGCGUUGCUCGGAAUCACUGGGCGUAAAGGGUGCGUAGGCGGGUCUUUAAGUCAGGGGUGAAAUCCUGGAGCUCAACUCCAGAACUGCCUUUGAUACUGAAGAUCUUGAGUUCGGGAGAGGUGAGUGGAACUGCGAGUGUAGAGGUGAAAUUCGUAGAUAUUCGCAAGAACACCAGUGGCGAAGGCGGCACACUGGCCCGAUACUGACGCUGAGGCACGAAAGCGUGGGGAGCAAACAGG